UAAUUGAAGAGUUUGAUCAUGGCUCAGAUUGAACGCUGGCGGCAGGCCUAACACAUGCAAGUCGG
Molecule: ribosomal RNA, 65 nt
Filed under: Morganella morganii subsp. morganii
Lineage: Bacteria; Pseudomonadati; Pseudomonadota; Gammaproteobacteria; Enterobacterales; Morganellaceae
Also listed under: 1 other name
Description: partial 16S ribosomal RNA
Rfam family: Bacterial small subunit ribosomal RNA
Source: RNAcentral